UACCAGCACCCCGAGUGGUCGGAACGAUUAUUGGGCCUAAAGCAUCCGUAGCCGGUCAUGCAAGUCUUCCGUUAAAUCCAGCCGCUCAACGGUUGGGCUGCGGAGGAUACUACGUGGCUAGGAGGCGGGAGAGGCAAGCGGUACUCAGUGGGUAGGGGUAAAAUCCUUUGAUCCAUUGAAGACCACCAGUGGCGAAGGCGGCUUGCCAGAACGCGCUCGACGGUGAGGGAUGAAAGCUGGGGGAGCAAACCGG
Molecule: ribosomal RNA, 253 nt
Filed under: uncultured bacterium
Lineage: Bacteria
Description: partial 16S ribosomal RNA
Rfam family: Archaeal small subunit ribosomal RNA
Source: RNAcentral